AUUGAACGCUGGCGGCAGGCUUAACACAUGCAAGUCGAGCGGGGUGAUGGUGCUUGCACUAUCACUUAGCGGCGGACGGGUGAGUAAUGCUUAGGAAUCUGCCUAUUAGUGGGGGACAACAUCACGAAAGGGAUGCUAAUACCGCAUACGUCCUACGGGAGAAAGCAGGGGAUCACUUGUGACCUUGCGCUAAUCGAUGAGCCUAAGUCGGAUUAGCUAGUUGGUGGGGUAAAGGCCUACCAAGGCGACGAUCUGUAGCGGGUCUGAGAGGAUGAUCCGCCACACUGGGACUGAGACACGGCCCAGACUCCUACGGGAGGCAGCAGUGGGGAAUAUUGGACAAUGGGGGGAACCCUGAUCCAGCCAUGCCGCGUGUGUGAAGAAGGCCUUAUGGUUGUAAAGCACUUUAAGCGAGGAGGAGGCUCUUUUGGUUAAUACCCAAGAUGAGUGGACGUUACUCGCAGAAUAAGCACCGGCUAACUCUGUGCCAGCCGCCGCAGUAA
This 503-nucleotide ribosomal RNA is filed under the name uncultured bacterium. Its description in RNAcentral is "partial 16S ribosomal RNA". It matches the Rfam family "Bacterial small subunit ribosomal RNA", at positions 30 to 523 of the family's 1533-position model. The record is from RNAcentral.